UACAGAGGUGGCAAGCGUUGUUCGGAAUUACUGGGCGUAAAGGGCGCGUAGGCGGCCUUGUAAGUCCUGUGUGAAAUCCCCCGGCUCAACUGGGGAACUGCACAGGAGACUGCUUGGCUUGAGUUCGGGAGAGGGAAGCGGAAUUCCGGGUGUAGCGGUGAAAUGCGUAGAUAUCCGGAGGAACACCGGUGGCGAAGGCGGCUCACUGGCCCGGUACUGACGCUGAGGCACGAAAGCGUGGGGAGCAAACAGG
Molecule: ribosomal RNA, 253 nt
Filed under: uncultured bacterium
Lineage: Bacteria
Description: partial 16S ribosomal RNA
Rfam family: Bacterial small subunit ribosomal RNA
Source: RNAcentral